AAGAGUAUAAUUUAAUGGUAAAAUAUGAAGCUUCAAACUUUAAAUUCUCAGUUCAAAUCCGAGUGCUCUUG
RNAcentral lists this transfer RNA (71 nucleotides) under Coccocarpia palmicola. Its description in RNAcentral is "tRNA-Tyr". It matches the Rfam family "tRNA". From Rfam's summary of the family: Transfer RNA (tRNA) molecules are approximately 80 nucleotides in length. Their secondary structure includes four short double-helical elements and three loops (D, anti-codon, and T loops). Lineage: Eukaryota; Fungi; Ascomycota; Lecanoromycetes; Peltigerales; Coccocarpiaceae. The record is from RNAcentral.